Molecule: non-coding RNA, 582 nt
Organism: Paramuricea clavata
Lineage: Eukaryota; Metazoa; Cnidaria; Anthozoa; Malacalcyonacea; Plexauridae
Source: the annotation of a GenBank genome assembly
AGAAAAAUUCCGCUCCGCGCGUAUGGAAAACCGGCUUAAUUCGCAUACGCAUAGUUUUCUCUUUGUGUGCGACAUAUUUAGCGAAUUUGUGUAUUUCUAAUUUUUGUUGUAGUGAAUUAAGUGUCAUGGCUUCCUUGAAACUGCAAGAAACAGCGCCAGAUUUUACAAGGUUUAGGAAGCUCUUCAUGCCGACAUAACAUCUUAUUGACGGCGUGGAAUUUACUUUUUACUUGACCCGUCCGGUUACGCAGCGAUCGUAUUGUGAAAUCGAAGCUUGCAUGUAGCUGUUUCUUCAAAGAACAUCUGUGGUUUAGCUCCACCAGCCGACAAGGUGUAUGAAUACGAUGCCUCCAAACAUGGAUAGAUCUCCUCAAGCAAAUAUCACGAGAGACAACGUUUUAACGUUAAAGGAAACCUGCAACUAAUACAUAUAGGUUAAAUUACACUAGCAACAUUGCAUACAUGUACUAUUAUAGUUAGAUAUAUAGUUUAAUAAAAAGUCGCUAGAAUGUGUUUGAAUAAUUAUACAUUAGUAAAACGUUUCUAAGAAGAUUCAAUAAAAAGAAAAUAAAUUAAUUCAGC